UUGGACUAAUGUUCCCCUUAAAAAAUAAAUAUAAAUGUAUACUUACCAAAGAACAAAAGGACAACCCCAUAUGAUCAUCGAUUGAUGGGGUCCCACCACAGUACAUGAUCUAAGACUCUACUCUUGUGUGAUUACAUCAGAGAGAGAGAGAGAGUUUAGAUCCUUGAUCCAACGGUCAUUAUUACACUGACCUCAUUUGUGAAUUACACAAGGCAAUGAGGCAUAGACAAGACCCUAUUAAAUUGAGGAGGUUUGAAAAUAUUUAUAUUAGCGUACAAAACAUAUGAUGGCAUGGAAUGGCUUGGCAGACAUUUUUUUCUUCUUUCUCUCAACUAAUGUCUUGAAUUUACUUCACCACCUUACUCUUUACUACGAUCAUUAAAGAAAAAGUAACCUUAUUUCAAAUUUUACUUUAUAGCCUUUACUUGGAUUGGGCUAUAAAUAGAUGAAGCUAGCUUUACUGGCUCUUCCAUCUCAACAAAGCAAAAACAACAGAGUAGUAGUAGUGAAGAAAAAAGAGUGUUAAGCUUAUAUAUAAUAAUAUAUCAUAAAAGCAUUUUAAGCUGGUGAGUUGCUCCUUGUUGGAGAAGCAGGGCACGUGCAAUAGUAAUUAAUUUAGUAAUUACCAUUGAAUUGAUUGUGUUGCACGCGCUCCACUUCUCCACCAUGGGCCUCUCACCAUUCCAUUUCCUCUCUAAUUCUAAAGACAUUCAUCUCUUAUUGUGUAUUAUGAAAAAGUGAAGGAGUUGUUUCAAGAAGGGGAACAUAGUCAGGGCUCAGAAGAAUAUGUAUGGAGAGAUCAUACAAUUGAGAUUUGAGAGAAGCUUCUCCUUCACCUGGUUUCGUGUACCUUUUUCUUAUGCCUUGUUUAUUUUAUGAUGUAAUCACACACCAAAAGUGAAAAUAUGUACUGCCCAUCCCCUGCCUUUAUUUUAUAUUACAUAUAAAUAUAUAUAUAUAUAUAUAAAUAAAAAUGUACUUUUCUUUAUCUUCAUUCAACUAAGUUUGUCCAAAAGUAAUAAUAACAAUUGUGGGUUAGGUCCUUUCUUCUAAUAUCUC
Cannabis sativa is the source of this 1059-nucleotide long non-coding RNA. RefSeq lists it as uncharacterized. The transcript has 2 exons. The record is from RefSeq and is a predicted model, not a curated record. Lineage: Eukaryota; Viridiplantae; Streptophyta; Magnoliopsida; Rosales; Cannabaceae.